This 3369-nucleotide long non-coding RNA is filed under the name Aquilegia coerulea. RNAcentral's name for it is "long non-coding RNA (ACOE_LNC001474)". The record is from RNAcentral. Lineage: Eukaryota; Viridiplantae; Streptophyta; Magnoliopsida; Ranunculales; Ranunculaceae.
UGAAGCAUCUGCCAUUUGCAUUUGCAAAGAUGAAACAUGAUUUAUCUCUGUGGAUGGUUCAGUCCUUUCUUUCUCAGAAAUCAUUCCGUUUAAUGGAUCAUCAUGUCUUCUCAUUUUACAUUCACCCAACACACCAGAAAACCAGAACAGUGACAUACCAGGUAUGUCACAAGGCUUGUCACAAUUUCAUGUGUCACUAUUUUUAGAUGACAAACUUGGUGUGUCACUGUUUCAAGAAAUCUGCGACAUACCAAAAUUGUCACAAUUUUUUGUGACAUACCUGGUAUGUCACACACGAGAAAAAUUCUAAUUAGAAAUCCAAGACAUACCAAAAUUGUCACAAAAAUCUGUAACAUACCUAGCACGUCACUCGAAAAAAUUCUUAUAAAAAAUUAAAUUGCUUUUUUUUUUCCUGCUGGGCUGCUUCCUCAUAGAGAGAAUCAAUACAAAUUUGAAUAAAAAUUUCCUGAAAUAUGUUAACUGCCAAUAUUUGCUAUCAAGAUAUAGUACUUUUAUUACUCAAAUAUGAGUUAUUGGUACAAGUUCGACCAAAAGUAUAACAUAGAAAUAUAUAUAUAAAAAAAAAAAAAAAAAAACAAUUCUAGAUAGUCUUCACUUGUAUACGCCAGUGAGCUCCCCAUUUCCUGCCUUCUGAUGAAAUGUGACCAUCUGUUUUGUGCAUUCCCUACAUUAAAGCAUAACGAAACCAUACUCAGGAAAAGUAUUUCUUUGAUGCAGCUAGCAGUGUAUAUAGAAGCUGCAGCUAACAGAGAUAGUGGGAAGUUCAAAAUUUCAGAUUGAGCUGCAGCAAUUAGAUUUAGACAUACUAUUUAAAACUAACCUUUUUGUCAGAUUGGGUUGCCUUGAGAAACAUCAUAAUGAACACAUAUGGUGUUGCACCUGCGAAGGAAGUACGAAAAUCAAAUUGACUCACAGACCACAGAGGCAUGUAAUGGUGAAACACAGAUCCAUAGUGGUGCAACCGACGAUUAAGGAAUAUUAACACAUGGCACUAAAUAAUUAUCUACCCAUAUGCAUUUGUAUGCGAAUUAGGGAGUUCAGCCAUCAAGUUAUCUACCCUACUUCGUGUGAGAACUAGUAACUUUUAAAAUAUGGCCUUGUUCAUUUCAAAUAUGCAGGCAGAGUAUAUGCGAAUAAUCCCAACGACCCAGGUAAACCAAAACAUUGAUAUACAUCAAAACAAGUACUACAUAACUGUACAAUUUCAUAAAAGAGUGUCACAGAAGUCAAGACAUGAAAUGGUACUAGCCAAAGUUACCAAAACUUAAAGUGAUCCCAAGCCUAGUACAGUCCACUCCAAUGACACCUGAUAAGCAAUAUACCAUAGUCACAUUACUCGUUUGCAUAUUUAAGACUAUUAACAAUAUGUGGGGGUUUGUGUUCUUACAGUUACUGAAACAUGGGAAGGAAGUGAUUUUAUAUAAAAAUGCAAAUGCAACUGUGAACACACACAUAUGGAUUCCAAAGUGCUAAAGUUAUAUAGAACACAGUACUACAGUAGUGAUCUUAAAAUAGUAUAUAUAGGAUAAAAGUCUCUGCCUAAAGCAAAGAUGUGAACUUUAAAUCUCGAUAUGGUACAUGAAAAGAUUUGUUGUUAGAAAAACUCACUAGCUUCAUGAUUAAAAGUCAGAAAAAAUGAAAACAAUUAAGCAUGAUGUAAAAGCUAUUAACCUCAAAGUCACACUCACAUGCACACAUAAAAAGAACCUAAGAAUCCUUAUAAUUAAAUAAAUGAUCUGUAGGUGUCAUUCCAUAGUUAGUAUUAAGUCUUCACUAAGUGGAGUGAUCACAAUAAAAUUUGUGAUUCCAAGGAUACAAAGGUUUCAAUAGAAAAUGGUGGCUACAAUGAUAAGAUUAUGGAAAUUAAUUAUAACCCAGGAGAGUUUCUCCUUUCUAGAUCACAUGAUUUUCCAGUAAAAUUCAACUUUAUAGAUUUAUUCACCAUAAGUGAUACUGAAUGUUUGUUUACCUGCUGAGUGCUGAGUAAUAGUUCAAUUCUUUGAUGAAUCACAUUCAAUAUGGCAUUCCAUCUCUUCAGAUCCUACAAUGCCAUCUCCGUAUCCCCUUGGGCAACUUCUCCAACAAUUCCAUUUCUCCUUUCACCCCUUUCAUCUGACAGUGGCAAAGACAGAUUUAUUUCUUAAGAUCGCAAAAGAGAGAUUUGAGAAAUAACACAGAUAGAGAAGCACUUACCGCUUGUUUGAGAAAUAUUCACUACAUACUAAAGUUUGUCCAAAAAAUAUUCCUCACUUACAAUUUCAUGCCAACUACUAAAACUAAAUUCAAUAUUUACCACAUUAAUGUCAUACUUAUUAGUUACUACUACUGUAUUCGAAACUUACUCAGACCAACAACAAGACAACAAUCAAAACAACAAACUUUAUUCAUUAAGCAAAUUUCAAAUCUAACAACUUAAAACCCUACUUCCUAUAAAAUUCAAAAACAAACUAUUAAUUUAAUGAAGUAGAAUUCUUCUCUAGAUUAUCAUUAUUUAAAUUCUUCAAUUGAUCUCCAACCGAAUUAUCUUCAGAAAGUAUUCUAUAAAACAAAUCCAAAUCAAUUGUCAUAUCCAAAUCAUCAAAUCCUUCAAUCAAAACAUCUCCAUCACCCUCUCACCAUCACUGCAACUUGUCCAAGUAUUCAUCGUUAAAGAAGAAGAAGAAGAAGAAGAAGAAGAUUGUAUUGAGUGUGAACAGAGAAGAAGAAGAGAGAGAAAGUGUGUGUUUGGUUUGAAACUAAACAAAACAACAAAUUUAGUGAAAUUGGAUUAAAAUUUAGUGAAACAUACAAAAUUUGCUCAUGAAUUCAAGCUACAGUGAGUAAUCAAAAUCAGAAAACAUUAGAAAAACCGAGUGAAAAUCAAAGCCGAUUUAAAUUCACCUCGAUUGGAAUAUGGUCGAGAUUUCUUCCAGUUGCAAAUACCAAGACGAAAUUAAUCUCACGAACUCCAUGAGAGAGCUUGAAGAAAACGAGAAACGAGAAAUGAAAACGGUUUUGUUCAAAAUAAACGAAAAGACACAAAUGCCCUUUAGCGGUAAUUUGGUGUAGAUGCAUGGUGAUCUGUGUGUGUCUUUAGAUAAUGGGAAAUCUCUCUAAUCGUAACUCAGAUGAUGCAGAUCUAUGAUCUCCUCCAUCAGAAAUAAAAAAGUGAAUUAGAACUUGGCAGAGAAUAAAUGAAGAUCACCACGACACCAACAAGUUUCGCCCAGACAUGGCAGCAGUCUGUACACAAUGUAGUUUUCCCUUGACUAUUAGCUAGAAUUACAUUUCAGUGAAAGCUGAUUUAUUAGGAGGCACAAAUGCUUAUCGAGCGAGCCUUUGCUAACAAUGGAGUAGUCAUGAUUGAUU